GACCAUGUAAAUAGGUUUGGAGCAACGCAGCUUGGGCUAAUGUGUUACUUCAAGGAAACACCCAUAAGAGGUAUGAGACCAUGAUCACUAAAUGGAAAUAGGACGAGUGGAAAGGAAUCUUAACAGCAACAACAGAAUAGAAAAUGGAGUAUGGAUGCUUAAUCUCACUUCUCAUUCAAUAUUAAGCUAAUGAUCCAAAUGCAAUUAGUAACCAUUCUGUUUUCUUCUUCCUUUCUUGGAAUUAUAAGCAACGUGGAAUAGUAAGUGUUCAUGGCAACAAGUCUAGACUCAAUGAGUUAUGCAAUUAAGAUCUGAAAACCCCUAAAGAUGCAAGAAUUGAAAUGGUGGGAACAAGUGUCUAAAGGCUGGAAUUGGUCCCUAAUCAAUGUCAAUUCGUAAAUUCAAAUCAUGUCCAAAUACAGUUUUGAAAAUUGUAAUCUUUCCACAUGGUAGUCCAAUGUACAUAUUGACCAUUUAAUCCUGAUAAUCAAUGCUGUUAUGGUAACAACUGUUGA
This is a long non-coding RNA of Acinonyx jubatus (cheetah), 515 nucleotides long. RefSeq lists it as uncharacterized. The transcript is spliced from 4 exons. The record is from RefSeq and is a predicted model, not a curated record. NCBI's taxonomy places the organism in Eukaryota, Metazoa, Chordata, Mammalia, Carnivora, Felidae.